UUACACAACAUAGAAUUCCUCAGGCACCGGUCCUUGGUUUUUUGGCUAAAAAAUCUAGUGUUAGAAUCACCCAACUUCAGCCAAUUCACUCUUGAACAUUGCCUGAGCUCUAUCUCCUCCCUUUCAAGCAGAUCCCGAAGUGUUAACUUCUCUUCAACCAGCUUCUGUUGUAACUCAUGGCUAUCUGGAUCCUCUGUCAGUUUUAAGACUUUCUCCCCUAUUGAUUUUCUG
RNAcentral lists this long non-coding RNA (231 nucleotides) under Zostera marina. RNAcentral describes it as "long non-coding RNA (ZMAR_LNC003996)". The record is from RNAcentral. Lineage: Eukaryota; Viridiplantae; Streptophyta; Magnoliopsida; Alismatales; Zosteraceae.